RNAcentral lists this ribosomal RNA (372 nucleotides) under uncultured bacterium. Its description in RNAcentral is "bacterial SSU rRNA". It matches the Rfam family "Bacterial small subunit ribosomal RNA", at positions 525 to 896 of the family's 1533-position model. The record is from RNAcentral.
ACAGAGGGUGCAAGCGUUAAUCGGAAUUACUGGGCGUAAAGCGCACGUAGGCGGCGUGAUAAGUUGGAUGUGAAAUCCCCGGGCUUAACUUGGGAAUUGCAUUCAAGACUGUCGCGCUAGAGUAUGGGAGAGAGAAGUGGAAUUCCAGGUGUAGCGGUGAAAUGCGUAGAUAUCUGGAGGAACAUCAGUGGCGAAGGCGGCUUCUUGGCCCAAUACUGACGCUGAGGUGCGAAAGCGUGGGGAUCAAACAGGAUUAGAUACCCUGGUAGUCCACGCUGUAAACGAUGAGAACUAGACGUUGGAAGGAUCUGCCUUUCAGUGUCGCAGCUAACGCGAUAAGUUCUCCGCCUGGGGAGUACGGCCGCAAGGUUG